CGGGCCCCUGAGGCCAUAGCCUUGCCUCUGAGGGGACCAAGGCAGUCUGGCAAGUCAGGAAGGUGGAGGCCACGUCUUAAACAUCUUGCCUCUUCUUUUCUCCUCCCCUGAGCAUUUAGAAGAAACCAGAUCUGCAGAAAAUGUUCCCUCAUGCAGCAGUCCUUCCACCAAGGGCACCUUCUACCUGCAAGUCCUCUUCAGCCUACGACUGAUUCCUGAUUCUCUUUUGACUCAUGGCCUCUGUAACCCUCCCUGAGUGGCCAUGACCCUGCAUCUGUGGAGGUCCCUACCGUUACUCGCUUGCCUGUGACAAAUAUGGGACUGGCACUUCAGGGGGGAAAAGCAGCAGCAGGAGUUGAUCAAUUCCUAAGCAACGAAGAUCCUGUUUUCAUGCAAACGUCCUCGGCAUUAAAGCAAAAACAAAUUCCUCCCAGGGAGCGUCCUGGAUGCCAAGACACAUUUUUAAGCGAGGUUUUGCGCCUGCGUGAGACACGAACAGGGAUGAGAGGAGAGUUGCAUGCCAAGUGCCGUCUCCUAUGUGCUCAUUGAAACCUCACAGCCACCCCACUAGCCAGCACAGUCGGAUCCCGAUUUGACAGAUAAGGAAACAGGCAGAGAGAAAUGAGGGACCAUGUCCAGUGUCAAUCACCUGGCAAAUGGAAGCCAGGGGAUGUGACCAGGUCUGAUGGAAGCAGUGUUGCUUCUGACACAAGCACGGGUGUCAACUGUGACUGCGUUCAUCUCACAGAGACUCAGGGCAUCAGCACAGACAUUUCAGAUGAGUAUGGGUAAAACCUUUUUUUUUUUCUUAGUGUGCUUUUCCCAUCACCAAAUAAAAAGAAAUUUGGAUGGUGCCUGGGUAUCAAUGCUCUCCUUAUAGAGAAAACAGACCUGGGUGUGAAUCUAGAUGAAGUGUUAGAAUUGACUAAAUGCUGUUCAGUCUGUGAUGCAGACUUGGUGCUCAGAAGUGUCCUUGACUACUUGGCUCUAGGAGUGGUCUUGGCUUCCUUGCCUCUGAUGCCAUCAGCAGAUAAAGACAGGGUGACCAUGAGAGAUAUUACGGGGUGAUGCAGGACCUUUAGGUGGAAUGAUAACAAGUGCGCCUAGUUCUGAAAAGGUGGGGAUCCGUGAGGGCUUCCUGGAGGAGGGAGAUAUUUUGAUUCAACACAGCGAGGAUCUUGCAACAGACAACUUUGGCCGGAUCCUAGAGGAGCUGGGAGUCCGCCAACACCAGCCCUACUGGAGGAACACCACCGGGUUCACUAGGCUUGCACAAUGGUUACAGAAAUUGUCCGCAGGGCAUCUAGCCUCCAGCUGGCUCCAGCAGCUUUGUCCUUUGAGAUCAUAGGUGCCCCAAAGAAACACACGUAGGACCAGGAUAUACAAUUCACUUUUCGCGUCAGGGAUUGUGAGACCUCCCUAGUAUCCAUGUUCCUCCCUUUCCCUCCCAGGUUUGUAGUUGGACUACAUUUCCCAGCCUUCCUUGCAGUCAGGAGUGGUCAUGUGAUUGCAUUGUGCCCAUUGGAACGGGAGCAGAAUUCCAGGCCUUACCCCAAAAACCUUCCACUUGUGGUUCUCUCUCUUUCUCCCAUCUACCCACUGAAUGGAGAGAGCUCCCAGGACUAGAGGGAGACAGAGCCACAAAAUAAGAAAGAGCCUGGGUCCCUGAAUCACUGUGUGGAAGAAUGCCUGCCAAACACAUACACCGAAUUGUGUGAGCAGGAAGUAAGGUGUUCAGCUAUGAUAAUUUGGGGGUCGUUACACACUGUUAGCCCACCCUGACUAAUAUAGCCUCUUACUAGCCAUGUGGCUUUGGAAAAGUUUCUUAACCUGCCCUAGUUUCAGUUUCCUGGUCUAUACAAACCAUCUUGUGAAUGACUGAACUAACCUUUGUAAAGCUCCUAUAAUCAAGGCCGCAUUAUGGCUUCCGUGAGCCCUGGGCCCUUUUGCCUUUGCCAGUCCCUUUCUGCAUUAAAAAAACCCCAACAAAACCCACCAAAGCACAAACACAUUAAAAAUUAGGUUUCACAAUUAUAACUGGUAUAAAGAUGAAUAUACUCCAGGCCGAAUUCAUUAUCAUGGUUAUCAUUAUUAUUUAUCACUUUUAUAUUUGAUUUUAUACUCACUAGCAUUAUAUUCAUUUUUUUUCUUCUGAUUUUAAGAGAAAUCAAAAUUGAACAUUUUCUGGGGCCUUAGGCACUGUGCCUAUUGUGCCUAAUGCAGAAGCUGACUCUGCUUGCUACAGUGCCUGGCUCAUGACUCGCGCAACACAAGGCAACUAUUAUGGAUCUUUAAAAAGUAAUAAUAAUAAGACGGAGGCAUGAAAGAGCACCAAAUGGUUAUGAAGCCGUUUCAUAUACAUCGUUUUCUCCAGCUCCCGCCUCCAUUGUAUGAGAUGGACAUCAUCUAUAUUUUCCAAUGAAACCAGAGGAGGCUCAUGGACAUGAAGUGUCACGGUCAAGCAGGGCAGCGCCGUCUACCACUCCAUGCUGUCUGCAGGGUGCUUUAUGUCAGACGCGACGCUACACACCUGUCUUACUUUAUCACCUUUAAUUUUCACAACCCUAUGAUGAGGUAGGGAUAUUCAUAUUUGUCCCCAUUGUAUGACUGAAGAAAGAAACUGAUGCCAAGGACAAGUGGCUGAGCUCAGAACUGAAACCACGUCUGGUGCCAAAUCUAAUGCUCGCUCUACCACCCUGCCUUCCCAUCUAUCAAUAGCUGUGUCACGAGAAUUGAUAAAUGGCAGUGUCGGUGGAGGGUGUCAGACACCCUGACACCUCCUUUCACAGAGCGGGAGAAGAACCUGCUCAGGGCUGACAUCCAAACACAUCCUGCCAGAUUAUGCUUGUGCUUUUUUAUUCUCCACCCAAAUGUACUCUUUAGAAGGUCUAAUUAUAGUGACUUCUAUUUUCUUGUAAAUAAUCACAUCUGUCAUAACUGAUUUAACUGAUCUGAGGUUCCAAGUUGGCAGUCUUGGCGGCCUGAGCCAAUGUGUCAAUUAUGCCAAGUAGGCCGUAAGCAAAACUUGCAUGAAAUGGAAGAGAGAAAAAAAAAAUUAGUUGCAUGCAUAUACAUGGUGGGGAUCAAUAUGUGAUUUUUUUUCACAACAAUCAUAUCAACACAAACUCCUUGACGUGGCCAAUGGGUGUCAAUCCCUCAGCAACCCAACUUAGUAAAACAGACACAGCCAGGCAAGAUCUCAGGGAAUAAAAACAAUCUUUUUCAUGGAGACACAAUUCUAAAAACUGGCUUCCUAAAUACCUUUUGCGUCUAAGUAACCACUACCCCUGGGAAUUUGCCACAGCUCUUUAUGCCUGUUUUCUGGGAGAAAAACAGAAAUGAUUCAAGAACAUAGUCUUAAGGGCUACAUUCUGAGUGUGGCUAUUCAGCCAGCCUCAAGUACUAGCAAGAACUUUGGGUCUGGACUUGGGUACAGGUCUGCUCUGUCCCACCAACUUAUCAGUCAGCAGUGUGCCUAAGCAACAAAGCAAAUCAUUGAACGUUCCCGAACUCAUCUCAGCUUUCUCAUCUAUAAAGUGAUGACAACCUAGAACCCUGGUGGAACUGAUGACACGAUGACUUGUGUGUGACAGCUUGCUGGAAAGUGUAAGCACUGCAUAAAUGCUAAGCAUCAUCAUUACUAACAGAUCAGCAUAUACCGAGUCCUGUCUUCAACCCAAAGGGAUGGCUUCUUUCUUCCCUCAAAGAACCCUAAGGAGAAACAGUCACGCUUUAAGUCAGAGAAGGGAUAAGAGAUGGGAUCUACUUGGGACUUCUUUCACAGAAAGGUGUUUGAAAAUCAUCCUGCCAAUAGAGUCCCUGUAUCCGAUGGGAAGCCGUGAGAAAAGAGUUUCUUCCAGACCCAGAAUGAAAAUUCCAUGAGGCAGGACUCCCUCUCUCUCUGUUUUGUUCCCCAAGAGCCUGGAAG
This is a long non-coding RNA of Hipposideros armiger (great roundleaf bat), 3928 nucleotides long. RefSeq lists it as uncharacterized. The transcript is spliced from 3 exons. Lineage: Eukaryota; Metazoa; Chordata; Mammalia; Chiroptera; Hipposideridae. The record is from RefSeq and is a predicted model, not a curated record.